CAGGAACUAGAUGGCGACCAAAGGAUUCUGAUCUUUUUGUCCAUCAAGCAGCUAUGGAAGAUUAAUAGCUAAACAUAUCAUUUCAAAUUAACUUAGAAGGAUUGAUCCCUAAUCAUUAUUUAGCACCGUUUUUUGAAUAUGAGCCAGCAAAUUUAGCGAAUUUCACACAAAACAAUAUGGCGGAUAUAGAAAAUAAAUGUCGAAUUUUUGAUGGCUCUA
Molecule: long non-coding RNA, 219 nt
Organism: Xenia sp. Carnegie-2017
Lineage: Eukaryota; Metazoa; Cnidaria; Anthozoa; Malacalcyonacea; Xeniidae
Exons: 2
Source: RefSeq, a predicted model, not a curated record